Equus caballus (horse) is the source of this 1736-nucleotide long non-coding RNA. The record is from Ensembl. NCBI's taxonomy places the organism in Eukaryota, Metazoa, Chordata, Mammalia, Perissodactyla, Equidae.
CUAUCAUUGAAGUCAACAUCUAAGUAACUGCCAUUUAAACCCUUAUUUCUUGCUGUGGGAGAGGGGAAGAUACAGUAUCUAUUUCUUGUUUUUAAUUUGCAAAAAGGACUUAGCCAGUGAAAAUUUAUGUAAAAUCAGACCAAAAGAGUUGGACUGUGUAUUGCCAUGAAAUUAAGUGACAAGUAGUAAACUAUUCUAGAAUAAUUAAGCCCAUGUAUAUUUGUUUUGAAUUGAAAGUCUUGAACUAUGUGAUGCCUGAAUGUACAAACUUUGCAAAUUGUCAGAGUACAGAUCGCUCGCUGUGACAGGUCCUCCUGCCUCGUGCGCUAGUUGCGACAGCCUCACUGCUUUGCGGAGGGACUGACGGGAGUUGAAGGACAGUUUUUAUUCCAGCUCUUAAGAUGAGGCAACUUUCAACCUUUAGAAACCCUUUGUGAAAAUUCUGGUUACAGCACUGUAGUCUGGUUGUAGGAUGACUAAAUGUUAUGUUCAGUGUUGGCCUACCUUAUUAGAAUAAACUGUGCCAUGAAUCCUCUCACAGACAUGCAAGGUAGAUAGCAGUCAACAGAAUUUAGGGGACGAUUUUGUGUCUCCAAAUAAUAUGGCUUAAAUUUCCUCCAGCUAAUUUUUCAGUGAUUUUAGCAGAUGUCAUCUAAUAUAUUCAUGAUCUUGUUUCUUUCUUUAGAGAUCUUGCCAUGGCAACAACUUGUUAAAUAAAUGUAAUUACACAUGCACAACACAAAAGACUUAGUGGGUUUACAUUUAGCGGUCAGUUGUAUUAGAUUUCAUAGUAAAUGGAAUAGGAAGUAUUUGUUUUCCUGUAGUAGUUCAGUGGAUUCCAUUGGAACCAGUUUACUGCCAGAAUUCAGAUAGAGUAGAUCUGGUUUCACCUUGUGAUGGUGUUGGCUCCAGGAUAUUUUUGUCUUUCAGUGUCCUAGAACACGCGUCUUCCCUUCAGUAACUGUGCUCUCACGUACCUCUAAUCCUGUGCUUCCUGGAAACGGUAACAUGCCAGCCAGAUUGUUUACUAAGGAGUGUUCAGAGGGCCUGGCGGUGCGGGCGUGGACGGCCAAAGCUUCAUGCUCGCCAACAUAAGGGAAAAGCAGACAGGCACCAGGUCUGAUUAGGCGGGAUUUCUUAAGCAACCCUUUGAAUGGUAAUUGUCCUUUCUGCCUUGUCACACAUGCCACUGUGCCCUUUAAAGUUUAACAUGGCAACCUCAGGUUUGUGGACAGCAAAGGCAGAGUGACAUCUUGUGCUUCCUGAGGCUCCCGUCUGCCCAGCACACUAGCUUAGUGCUAAAGAUGUCAGCCCAAGUCCCUGCUGCCUCCUCUCCUGCCCGGGAGGAGGGCUGGUGCUGGGCGGGGCCCGCACUCCUCAGGUGACCGAGCACGCGCAGCAGUGGAUGGUGGGCCGACCUGCAAGCUCUGCACUUCAAGGACUCACCCUGGGCUCAGAGAGUGACGCAGCUCUUCGUCAACUAGUCUCUUCUGUUUGUUCGAAAGGAAAUGUGGAUCUCUCUGAGGCCAGGAUUUAGUGGCUAUUUUCACUAGACGGCAGGUUAAUACCUAGCUCUCAUUUUUAAAAAAGAAUAAAGGGAACUGAUUAGGUUUGCUGGGUCUUUUAAUCUAAUUCCAAAGCAAGGCAGAAUGCUCGAGGUAGGAAUAAUGGGAAUCCAAGGUAAAGAACCCUUUUUCUUAUGAUUUGUAGCUACCUACUGUGCCUGACUUGGUGCC